This 719-nucleotide ribosomal RNA is filed under the name Macrobrachium platycheles. RNAcentral's name for it is "eukaryotic LSU rRNA". It matches the Rfam family "Eukaryotic large subunit ribosomal RNA", at positions 65 to 628 of the family's 3401-position model. Lineage: Eukaryota; Metazoa; Arthropoda; Malacostraca; Decapoda; Palaemonidae. The record is from RNAcentral.
CCAACCGGGAUUCCCUGAGUAAGGGCGACUGAAAGGGGAUGAGCCCAGCGCAUAACCUCCCGGCGGUAACGUGGCCGUGGAGGGGUGUUGCGUUUCGGUGGAUCCGUACCGCUCGAGUUGCUGACCGCCUAAGUCAUUGCUUGAAUGCAGCCCCGAGGAGGGUGGUAGGCCCGUGUGGCGGCGCCUGUAAAAAGGUCCGAAGCAACUUGGGCGGAGGGGUCUUUACCGUAGAGUCGGGUUGCUUAGUACUGCAGCCCUAAGUAGGUGGUAAACUCCAUCUAAGGCUAAAUAUUAGCACGAGUCCGAUAUUUGACAAGUACCGUGAGGGAAAGCUGAAAAGGACUCUGAAGAGAGAGUUCAAGAGGACGUGAAACCAUUAGAAGCUGAAACGGGUGGAACCGUGAAGGUGGAAAGAGGGGAUUCAGGCUGUGGGCGGGCGCUUGGGCCCGAGGUUGGCUAUUUUGGAGAGGACCCGGCGUUAGAGUUGAUUGCCGCGGCCCCUCUGGCUUUGAGCGCCUGUCGGCGGGCUUAUUUCUCCCUCGAGUACUGGUGGUGGCGACCCGCUGUUUGGGCCCCGAGGGCCCUUAGGGACUGGUAGCCUGCAGCUUUGUUGUGGGUGAUGACCCUAGAGGGUACUGUUGGGGUUUGAACGGCGGUCACUGCAAGGAGGUUUUGCCUGCGUGAGUAGGCGAGACCUCUCGCCAUGUGAAAGGGAUCGG